AGUGAACGCUGGCGGUAGGCCUAACACAUGCAAGUCGAACGGCAGCACAGUAAGCGCUUGCUCUUACGGGUGGCGAGUGGCGGACGGGUGAGGCAUACAUCGGAAUCUACUUUUUCGUGGGGGAUAACGUAGGGAAACUUAUGCUAAUACCGCAUACGACCUACGGGUGAAAGCAGGGGAUCUUCGGACCUUGCGCGAUUGAAUGAGCCGAUGUCGGAUUAGCUAGUUGGCGGGGUAAAGGCCCACCAAGGCGACGAUCCGUAGCAGGUCUGAGAGGAUGAUCAGCCACACUGGAACUGAGACACGGUCCAGACUCCUACGGGAGGCAGCAGUGGGGAAUAUUGGACAAUGGGCGCAAGCCUGAUCCAACCAUACCGCGUGGGUGAAGAAGGCCUUCGGGUUGUAAAGCCCUGUUGUUGGGAAAGAAAAGCAGCAGGUUAAUACCCCGCUGUUCUGACGGUACCCAAAGAAUAAGCACCGGCUAACUUCGUG
This 492-nucleotide ribosomal RNA is filed under the name uncultured bacterium. RNAcentral describes it as "partial 16S ribosomal RNA". It matches the Rfam family "Bacterial small subunit ribosomal RNA", at positions 29 to 507 of the family's 1533-position model. The record is from RNAcentral.